CCUACGGGUGGCUGCAGUGGGGAAUAUUGGACAAUGGGCGCAAGCCUGAUCCAGCAAUGCCGCGUGGGUGAAGAAGGCCUUCGGGUUGUAAAGCCCUUUUGUACGGGAAGAAAAGCUUCGGAUUAAUACUUCGAGGUCAUGACGGUACCGUAAGAAUAAGCACCGGCUAACUUCGUGCCAGCAGCCGCGGUAAUACGAAGGGUGCAAGCGUUAAUCGGAAUUACUGGGCGUAAAGCGUGCGUAGGUGGUUAGUUAAGUCUGUCGUGAAAGCCCUG
This 275-nucleotide ribosomal RNA is filed under the name uncultured bacterium. RNAcentral describes it as "partial 16S ribosomal RNA". It matches the Rfam family "Bacterial small subunit ribosomal RNA", at positions 338 to 605 of the family's 1533-position model. The record is from RNAcentral.